AUAAAUAGCCGUAACACUUUGAGCACACCUGAUCUCUGCAGCUAAGCAGAGUCAGGCCUGGCUAGUACUUGGAUGGGAGACCAUCUGGAAAUACAGGUGUUGUAAACC
This 108-nucleotide ribosomal RNA is filed under the name Pelobates cultripes (western spadefoot toad). Lineage: Eukaryota; Metazoa; Chordata; Amphibia; Anura; Pelobatidae. The record is from RNAcentral.